UACGGAGGAUGCGAGCGUUAUCCGGAUUCAUUGGGUUUAAAGGGUGCGCAGGCGGGAGAUUAAGUCGGCGGUGAAAUUUUGCAGCUCAACUGUAAAAGUGCCUUCGAAACUGGUUUCCUUGAGUGUAGAUGAAGUAGGCGGAAUUUGUGGUGUAGCGGUGAAAUGCAUAGAUAUCACGAGGAACUCCGAUUGCGCAGGCAGCUUACUAAACUACUACUGACGCUCAGGCACGAAGGCGUGGGGAUCAAACAGGAUUAGAUACCCG
This 265-nucleotide ribosomal RNA is filed under the name uncultured prokaryote. RNAcentral describes it as "partial 16S ribosomal RNA". It matches the Rfam family "Bacterial small subunit ribosomal RNA", at positions 524 to 788 of the family's 1533-position model. The record is from RNAcentral.